Molecule: ribosomal RNA, 447 nt
Filed under: uncultured bacterium
Lineage: Bacteria
Description: bacterial SSU rRNA
Rfam family: Bacterial small subunit ribosomal RNA
Source: RNAcentral
UGGGGAAUAUUGGACAAUGGGCGAAAGCCUGAUCCAGCCAUGCCGCGUGAGUGAUGAAGGCCCUAGGGUUGUAAAGCUCUUUCGCCAGGGACGAUAAUGACGGUACCUGGAGAAUAAGCCCCGGCAAACUUCGUGCCAGCAGCCGCGGUAAUACGAAGGGGGCUAGCGUUGUUCGGAAUUACUGGGCGUAAAGCGCACGUAGGCGGAUUGUUAAGUCAGAGGUGAAAUCCCGGAGCUCAACUUCGGAACUGCCUUUGAUACUGGCAAUCUAGAGUCCGGAAGAGGUUAGUGGAAUUCCCAGUGUAGAGGUGAAAUUCGUAGAUAUUGGGAAGAACACCAGUGGCGAAGGCGGCUAACUGGUCCGGUACUGACGCUGAGGUGCGAAAGCGUGGGGAGCAAACAGGAUUAGAUACCCCCGUAGUCCCUGAGCGGGCUGGCAAGGCGCAU